This 274-nucleotide ribosomal RNA is filed under the name uncultured prokaryote. Its description in RNAcentral is "partial 16S ribosomal RNA". It matches the Rfam family "Bacterial small subunit ribosomal RNA", at positions 524 to 796 of the family's 1533-position model. The record is from RNAcentral.
UACGUAGGGUGCAAGCGUUGUCCGGAAUUAUUGGGCGUAAAGAGCUCGUAGGCGGUUUGUUGCGUCGGCUGUGAAAUCCCGAGGCUCAACCUCGGGUCUGCAGUCGAUACGAGCAAACUAGAGUGUUGCAGGGGAGACUGGAAUUCCUGGUGUAGCGGUGAAAUGCGCAGAUAUCAGGAGGAACACCGGUGGCGAAGGCGGGUCUCUGGGCAACAACUGACGCUGAGGAGCGAAAGCGUGGGGAGCGAACAGGAUUAGAUACCCCUGGUAGUCC